ACACAGAGCGUUGGAUCUGGCCUCAUUAGUUGAUGUGGUAGAUCCAACAAUCCUCAGGCUAGGGUGCACGAUGGAAAUUAGCAAAAAUGAAACACGAGAUCUAAUUCAAAAUGGACCAAUCAUAACAUUUCAAAUUACCAACGUGUAUGGCCAAACUCAGAUGACCUGAAACACUCUGGUCAUCUUCCCCAAUGAUCCCUCACCGGAGUUUCAUCGUUUGGUAAAUUCAGAACACGAGACUAACACCAAUGUGAUCGCCUCAUCGUCACGAAUUUGACCUCAUGCUCAAAAUUCAUUUAUCUAAACUGAGCAUGGAGAAUUUCAAAGAAGUUCCAGAAGCAAGCAAGCCACAAAAAAUAAAAUUAAAUAUUGACCUCAUGCUCAAAAUUCAUUUAUCUAAACUGAGCAUGGAGAAUUUCAAAGAAGUUCCAGAAGCAAGCAAGCCACAAAAAAUAAAAUUAAAUGAUGAA
This 470-nucleotide long non-coding RNA is filed under the name Lathyrus oleraceus (garden pea). Its description in RNAcentral is "Pisum sativum (pea) long non-coding RNA (PSAT_LNC037362)". The record is from RNAcentral. Lineage: Eukaryota; Viridiplantae; Streptophyta; Magnoliopsida; Fabales; Fabaceae.